Molecule: non-coding RNA, 73 nt
Organism: Parelaphostrongylus tenuis
Lineage: Eukaryota; Metazoa; Nematoda; Chromadorea; Rhabditida; Metastrongylidae
Source: the annotation of a GenBank genome assembly
UGCUCUGGUAGUGCAGUGGUUAGCACGCGCACCCGGCAUGAGUGAGGCGCGGGUUCAGGUCCCGCCCGAUCAA